AAAUUGAAGAGUUUGAUCAUGGCUCAGAUUGAACGCUGGCGGCAGGCCUAACACAUGCAAGUCGAACGGUAACAGGAAGCAGCUUGCUGCUUUGCUGACGAGUGGCGGACGGGUGAGUAAUGUCUGGGAAACUGCCUGAUGGAGGGGGAUAACUACUGGAAACGGUGGCUAAUACCGCAUAACGUCGCAAGACCAAAGAGGGGGACCUUCGGGCCUCUUGCCAUCAGAUGUGCCCAGAUGGGAUUAGCUAGUUGGUGAGGUAACGGCUCACCAAGGCGACGAUCCCUAGCUGGUCUGAGAGGAUGACCAGCCACACUGGAACUGAGACACGGUCCAGACUCCUACGGGAGGCAGCAGUGGGGAAUAUUGCACAAUGGGCGCAAGCCUGAUGCAGCCAUGCCGCGUGUAUGAAGAAGGCCUUCGGGUUGUAAAGUACUUUCAGCGGGGAGGAAGGUGUUGUGGUUAAUAACCGCAGCAAUUGACGUUACCCGCAGAAGAAGCACCGGCUAACUCCGUGCCAGCAGCCGCGGUAAUACGGAGGGUGCAAGCGUUAAUCGGAAUUACUGGGCGUAAAGCGCACGCAGGCGGUCUGUCAAGUCGGAUGUGAAAUCCCCGGGCUCAACCUGGGAACUGCAUUCGAAACUGGCAGGCUUGAGUCUUGUAGAGGGGGGUAGAAUUCCAGGUGUAGCGGUGAAAUGCGUAGAGAUCUGGAGGAAUACCGGUGGCGAAGGCGGCCCCCUGGACAAAGACUGACGCUCAGGUGCGAAAGCGUGGGGAGCAAACAGGAUUAGAUACCCUGGUAGUCCACGCCGUAAACGAUGUCUACUUGGAGGUUGUGCCCUUGAGGCGUGGCUUCCGGAGCUAACGCGUUAAGUAGACCGCCUGGGGAGUACGGCCGCAAGGUUAAAACUCAAAUGAAUUGACGGGGGCCCGCACAAGCGGUGGAGCAUGUGGUUUAAUUCGAUGCAACGCGAAGAACCUUACCUGGUCUUGACAUCCACAGAAGAAUCCAGAGAUGGAUUUGUGCCUUCGGGAACUGUGAGACAGGUGCUGCAUGGCUGUCGUCAGCUCGUGUUGUGAAAUGUUGGGUUAAGUCCCGCAACGAGCGCAACCCUUAUCCUUUGUUGCCAGCGAUUAGGUCGGGAACUCAAAGGAGACUGCCAGUGAUAAACUGGAGGAAGGUGGGGAUGACGUCAAGUCAUCAUGGCCCUUACGACCAGGGCUACACACGUGCUACAAUGGCGCAUACAAAGAGAAGCGACCUCGCGAGAGCAAGCGGACCUCAUAAAGUGCGUCGUAGUCCGGAUUGGAGUCUGCAACUCGACUCCAUGAAGUCGGAAUCGCUAGUAAUCGUGGAUCAGAAUGCCACGGUGAAUACGUUCCCGGGCCUUGUACACACCGCCCGUCACACCAUGGGAGUGGGUUGCAAAAGAAGUAGGUAGCUUAACCUUCGGGAGGGCGCUUACCACUUUGUGAUUCAUGACUGGGGUGAAGUCGUAACAAGGUAACCGUAGGGGAACCUGCGGUUGGAUCACCUCCUUACCU
This 1545-nucleotide ribosomal RNA is filed under the name Salmonella enterica subsp. enterica serovar Kisangani. RNAcentral's name for it is "bacterial SSU rRNA". It matches the Rfam family "Bacterial small subunit ribosomal RNA". Lineage: Bacteria; Pseudomonadati; Pseudomonadota; Gammaproteobacteria; Enterobacterales; Enterobacteriaceae. The record is from RNAcentral.